RNAcentral lists this ribosomal RNA (253 nucleotides) under uncultured bacterium. RNAcentral's name for it is "partial 16S ribosomal RNA". It matches the Rfam family "Bacterial small subunit ribosomal RNA", at positions 524 to 776 of the family's 1533-position model. The record is from RNAcentral.
UACGGAGGGGGCGAGCGUUAUUCGGAAUUAUUGGGCGUAAAGGGCGCGUAGGCGGCUGAACAAGUCAAAGGUGAAAUCCCUCGGCUCAACUGAGGAACUGCCUUUGAAACUGUUCGGCUUGAGGCCGGGAGGGGGUAGCGGAAUUCCCAGUGUAGAGGUGAAAUUCGUAGAUAUUCGCAAGAACACCAGUGGCGAAGGCGGCUCACUGGCCCGAUACUGACGCUGAGGCACGAAAGCGUGGGGAGCAAACAGG